Molecule: long non-coding RNA, 1785 nt
Organism: Schistocerca gregaria
Lineage: Eukaryota; Metazoa; Arthropoda; Insecta; Orthoptera; Acrididae
Exons: 2
Source: RefSeq, a predicted model, not a curated record
UUUGAAUUGUUGUUAGUGUUUGAAUGUGUUGGCUGCGAAGAGAACUUCUGACAACAGUGUUUUCAAUUUGUGAUUACCAUGGGACGGCAGAAACCUUCAAAACCAGGUACUAGGAAAUACGGCACAAAAACCCGUUACUCGAAUGACACCCUGCAGAAAAUAUUAGAAGAAAUUACUACUGGAAGAAUCGGCCAGAGGGAAGCUGCAAGGAAAUAUAACAUUCGAAGACAAACCAUUGUGAACAAAUUAAAAAACAAGCACAGCUGUAAAGUUGGAAGACCCACUGUGUUUACGGAGAUUUAAGAAAGAUCUUUUGUACAACAUUGUAUCACUGUCAAUAUCAAUCUUUGACUUGAGGUGCAUAGUUAAGUCAUAUCUUGACACCUGUAACAGAAAAGUAAGCUGCUUUGCAGAUAAUAUGCCUGGAUGGGAAUGGGGAAAGGCCUUUUUAGAGAGGCAUCAUUCUGAACUUUCUCAGAAAUUUACAGUAAAUAUUUCAAGGAAGCAUGCUGCCGUAAAUGAGGACAUAAUCAGCACUUUCUUUCUGAAAUAUAAUUCAGAUGUGAGCUUCCUUUCACUAAAUUUGAAGAUGCUGUCUGUUCACCUAACUGCAAAGUCUUCGCCAGUAGGCCACUAAAUGUACCCUUUGGAAGACAUUAUUUCUUCUUUCCUUCUGGAGUCUUCCUCCAUUGAGAAAGAACAUCUCUCCAGUUUUUCUUCAGAGAAGAGAAAUAAGCCACAUCUAGCGGCUGCAGAAGAUGUGUCGCAUUCGGUGGCAGGCAAAUGAACUUAAUGUUAUUUUGUUCACAAAGCUCCAAAGUUCUGAUUGAGAUGUGAGAGGAGAGGUUAUCUCCAAUAAUUACUCUCCUUCCUUCUUUCUUUAAGGCAAAAGGGAGGAAGUGAGUUUCAAACCAGUCAUCAAAUACUCCUUGUUCCAUCCACCCACUGUCUGAUGAAUUCAUUCGUGUUCCAGGAGGUGCAUUGUAAAUCCAGUCAGUCCAUUUUUGCUUACCUUUAAAAAUAAGAUAUGGAGGAAGGAAUUCUCCUGCUGCAUUCCCACAGAACAUGACAGUAAAACAUGAUGAAUCAAUUUUCUUUAAUAUACAGUCCUUUCUGUACCAAAUUGAAUCCUCUCUCUCAGGCCACACCCAAUAUUUUCCUUUUUUAACCACGCAACUUAUUCUGAAUGUCACACAAUUGCCUCGCACCUCUACUGCAGUGACUUUUCCAGGAUAGCAUUUGCCCUCAUAUACUGCAAUGACAUAGUCAUUUACAUGAAAGUCACCUUCUGAUGUAGAAGGUUGAUUGACCAUAUCAGUUAGUAAUUCUUCUUCUACAACCAUGAUUUUGAUGUAUUCUCGAUUUUCUCAGGAUGUCGACACGUUCGACGAAACAAGAGCUUUCCUUUUGCUGGUAUGUCAUGAAACCCUGUUUCGUCAAAAUUGAAAAUAUUUUCAGCAGGAACACCUUCUAUCUCGUCUUUAUAAUGAUGAAUCCUGCAUGAAACAUAUUAAUAAAAGGGGCAUGGUUCAUAUCAGUGAUGACCUCCUGUGCUCAUCGGAUGAAGAUAUUUGAGGAAAUCUAUUUCCUGUAUAGUAUUAGUGAAUGUGUUGUGUUCUGUUUUCGAAGAAAAUAUGUAACUAUUAUUUGUAAUAUGUAUUACAAGCCAUUCACUGUGAAAAAUAUGUUUUUUCUACAUUUCUUUUCACUUAAUUUGAGAUCUGUCAAUGCCAGGUGGAUACAAAUAUAUUGAUAUUUCAAAAUAAACACUCUAUUGUGUAUUAA